Molecule: ribosomal RNA, 98 nt
Filed under: Salmonella enterica
Lineage: Bacteria; Pseudomonadati; Pseudomonadota; Gammaproteobacteria; Enterobacterales; Enterobacteriaceae
Also listed under: 1 other name
Source: RNAcentral
GUGGUCCCACCUGACCCCAUGCCGAACUCAGAAGUGAAACGCUGUAGCGCCGAUGGUAGUGUGGGGUCUCCCCAUGCGAGAGUAGGGAACUGCCAGGC